ACUCAUGGUGCCAGAUAUUUUGCA
Molecule: non-coding RNA, 24 nt
Filed under: Arabidopsis thaliana (thale cress)
Lineage: Eukaryota; Viridiplantae; Streptophyta; Magnoliopsida; Brassicales; Brassicaceae
Source: RNAcentral